RNAcentral lists this ribosomal RNA (121 nucleotides) under Octodon degus (degu). Lineage: Eukaryota; Metazoa; Chordata; Mammalia; Rodentia; Octodontidae. The record is from RNAcentral.
UAUGGCCAUACCACCCUGAAUGUGCCUGAUCUCGUCCGAUCUCAGAAGCUAAGCAGGAUCAGGCCUGGUUAGUACUUGGAUGGGAGAUAAAAUUUUUUUUAAAUCCUGGUAGAUAUUAUAA